GACAGCCCCAGACCAGCCAGACAGACAGACAGACAGACAUGAAGCCACCAGACAGACAGACAGACAUGAAACCACCAGACAGACAGACAGACAUGAAGCCACCAGACAGACAGACAUGAAGCCACCAGACAGACAGACAGACAGACAGGUGUUUAGGAGUAAAUACUUUAUUAACAUUCUCCUUCAGCACCACUAGAGGAUCAGAACUCUACAGGAAACAGAGACUCUGGUCCUGGUUCCCAUGGCUACAGUGGUUAGUGAGUGAGGCAGGCGGAGACCCUCCUCUCUGCUCUGCUACAGUCCUUAAUGAGGUCCCUUUAACACAGAGGUCCCCUGACCCAACCACAGAAUACUGCUUAGCGUUAACUAUGGUGACAGGUUCUCUGAUCGUUUGGUAGAACCUCGUCUCCUCUGGGUCCCAACCUAAAGAUAUUUUACACUGUAAAAGUUUUUUAAAAAGGUUAAAAUAAUUGUUGACUUGUGAUAGGGUCCUCCUCUGUUACCCAGAACACACUGCUUCACCCAGACAGCGUCCCAACAGUCUAAAGUAGCUCGUCUUCUCCUCCUUCUGAUCUGAAAGACCUGGUCACCUGAAACCGAAUUCCCUCAUCAUAUAUUCUUUAUACCGUUUUCCUGCGCAGACGAAGGAGAGGUGAGGAGACGAGAGGAAGCAUCUUCAGACUAUUGAGAUUCAGCCGGCCUGAAUUCCUUCCAUUAUUAAAACAAUUCAGUUAGCGCUCUUGACAGAUAGCAUUUAGCCAACCGUUAGCUCUAGACAGACAGUUAGCUAACCGUUAGCUCUUGACAGGUAGCCGUUAGCCCUAGACAGACAGUUAGAAACCGUUAGCUCUUGACAGGUAGCAGUUAGCUAACCGUUAGCCAUUGACAGGUAGCAGUUAGCUAACCGUUAGCCAUUGACAGGUAGCAGUUAGCUAACCGUUAGCUCUAGACAGAGAGUUAACUAACCGUUAGCUC
Molecule: long non-coding RNA, 975 nt
Organism: Oncorhynchus tshawytscha (Chinook salmon)
Lineage: Eukaryota; Metazoa; Chordata; Actinopteri; Salmoniformes; Salmonidae
Source: Ensembl